This 437-nucleotide long non-coding RNA is filed under the name Mus musculus (house mouse). Its description in RNAcentral is "predicted gene 28850". Lineage: Eukaryota; Metazoa; Chordata; Mammalia; Rodentia; Muridae. The record is from RNAcentral.
GGCCUUGCUCUUAUGUCAUUUGACUAAAGGUUUCAUAGACCAAAGAUAACCAUCCAACUUGUUGGAAUACUGAAACAAUUGCUGCCUGCUGUCCACACACCACAUAAAAUAUGUGGAUUUUGUAAAUUCUGCAAAAAAGGUUUGGAAGCUGAUCAAUCAAUACUGGAACUCCCUCUUCUCCAGAAGAGACAUCCUGGCCUCCAUGCAGAGGAAUGUGUGGAUGGACAUAUAUUUAAGGAAGACACUAAACCAGAAACUACUACAUUACACCCUCUUAGAAGACUUCUAAGAUUGUUGUCAUGCCUACCACAGACAUUCAGAUGAUGUGUAUUGUUGAUUGUGAUUUCAUGUUUGGACCUGAUGAAGGAGUUUGAAGUCUCCAGAGCAGCAAAGAGAGUGGGGAGUAGAACUAUUCAUCUUUAGGUCACUCAUCAUCG